This 306-nucleotide ribosomal RNA is filed under the name uncultured bacterium. RNAcentral's name for it is "partial 16S ribosomal RNA". It matches the Rfam family "Bacterial small subunit ribosomal RNA", at positions 507 to 807 of the family's 1533-position model. The record is from RNAcentral.
GACAGCAGCCGCCGCGGGAAUACGUAGGUGGCAAGCGUUGUCCGGAAUUAUUGGGCGUAAAGGGCUCGCAGGCGGUUUCUUAAGUCUGAUGUGAAAGCCCCCGGCUCAACCGGGGAGGGUCAUUGGAAACUGGGAAACUUGAGUGCAGAAGAGGAGAGUGGAAUUCCACGUGUAGCGGUGAAAUGCGUAGAGAUGUGGAGGAACACCAGUGGCGAAGGCGACUCUCUGGUCUGUAACUGACGCUGAGGAGCGAAAGCGUGGGGAGCGAACAGGAUUAGAUACCCCUGUAGUCCCUGUCUCUUAUAC